CCUACGGGAGGCAGCAGUGGGGAAUUUUGGACAAUGGGCGCAAGCCUGAUCCAGCCAUGCCGCGUGUGGGAAGAAGGCCUUCGGGUUGUAAACCACUUUUGUCAGGGAAGAAACGGCUUUUUCUAAUACAGAGAGCUAAUGACGGUACCUGAAGAAUAAGCACCGGCUAACUACGUGCCAGCAGCCGCGGUAAUACGUAGGGUGCAAGCGUUAAUCGGAAUUACUGGGCGUAAAGCGUGCGCAGGCGGCUUUGCAAGACAGAUGUGAAAUCCCCGGGCUCAACCUGGGAACUGCAUUUGUGACUGCAUGGCUAGAGUACGGUAGAGGGGGAUGGAAUUCCGCGUGUAGCAGUGAAAUGCGUAGAUAUGCGGAGGAACACCGAUGGCGAAGGCAAUCCCCUGGACCUGUACUGACGCUCAUGCACGAAAGCGUGGGGAGCAAACAGGAUUAGAUACCCUGGUAGUCCACGCCCUAAACGAUGUCAACUGGUUGUUGGACGGCUUGCUGUUCAGUAACGAAGCUAACGCGUGAAGUUGACCGCCUGGGGAGUACGGCCGCAAGGUUGAAACGUCGAAAGGAAUUGACGG
RNAcentral lists this ribosomal RNA (587 nucleotides) under uncultured bacterium. RNAcentral describes it as "bacterial SSU rRNA". It matches the Rfam family "Bacterial small subunit ribosomal RNA", at positions 338 to 916 of the family's 1533-position model. The record is from RNAcentral.